Molecule: long non-coding RNA, 3983 nt
Filed under: Salmo salar (Atlantic salmon)
Lineage: Eukaryota; Metazoa; Chordata; Actinopteri; Salmoniformes; Salmonidae
Description: lncRNA (ENSSSAG00000116159.1)
Source: RNAcentral
CAGACAGACAGACAGACAGACAGACAGACAGACAGACAGACAGACAGACAGACAGACAGACAGACAGACAGACAGACAGACAGACAGACAGAAGCUGUCCUAUAUAAAUACACCAAGUGUACAAAAUAUUAAGAACACUCCGCCUUUUGCCCCUCAGAACAACCUUAUUGUUUGGGGCAUGGACUCUACAAGGUGUCAAAUGCAUUCCACAGGGAUGCUGGUCCAUGUUGACUCCAAUGCUUCACAAAGUUGUGUCUAGUUGGCUGGAUGUCCUUUGGGUGGUGGACCAUUGUUGAUACACACUGUUGAGUGUGAAAAACCCAGCAGCGUUGCAGUUCUGAGCCUGGCACCUACUGCCAUACCCUGUUCAAAGACACUUGCCCAUUCACCCUCUGAAUGGCACACACAAUCCGUGUCUCAAUUGUCUCAAGGCUUUAAAAUCCUUCUUUAACUUGUCUCCUCCCCUUCAUCUACACAAAUUGAAGUGGAUUUAACGAGUGACAUCAAUAAGGGAUCAUAGCUUUCAACUGGAUUCACCUGGUCAGUCUAUGUCAUGGAAAGAGCAGGUGUUCAUAUUGUUUUAUACACUCAGUGUAGUUUCUCACAUAUUGGAGUUCCCCCAAAUGAAUUAGUUUGUCUGGUUUUGCAGAACAACAAGAAAUUCUAGGAAUUGGACAACCAGAAUGUUACUCAAUACACCAUAAUUAAAUGUUGCACGCAAACCAAUUUUUGUAUGACAUUUGACAUAUUCCUGUAUUUGUUUUGAGCCCCUUCCAAUGUACAACAAUGAGAUGGUUGAGUGAACAAGAGGCUUUUUAUAUCAGAUCAGAUCAAUGAAGAUAUAUCCCAUAAAGAAGAUCCAGUCUGUGCUGUGUCAAAUCACAGAAUAUAUGCCACCUCUCUAUACAAAUAGUCUUCGGCAAACACAUCUCUACACAGUGCCUCACAGAGGCAGCAUAUACAACAGACCCAGUCAUUUGUGUACUUUGAAGACACACCAGUCAGACAUCAGCGAACAGUCAGACGCAUGCCACUGGACAGGAGCCAGUUCUACCGCUGCGACUGGGUUAAACAGUGUGGAGGACCUUUGGAUGGUUUGGUCUGCUAGGGCAGUCACUCCCCUCUCUGUGUUUGCACGUGGGAUUGUCUUGAGGUCUGUGAAUGGGGAACUUGUGAGAGAAGGGUCCCCACCGAGGAGGGGGGUGGGGAUGGUCACUAACACAGCUGUUCAGCUCAAAUAGUGCCUGCUGUUGUUUGGGGACUCCUGUUGGAAGUUAGUGUGUUUAGUUGGGAGAGAGCGUUGUAAGGAGCAGCAAGGAGGGAUACUCUAUUGUUUUUCUGUGUUUUUGCUUUGCUGGGAAAGACUUUAGAGAUAAAGGAAGAGUCCAUGCUGUUUUGCUUGAAUUUCAUUUUAUUCACUUCAAACCUGUCAAAAUGGAUGAUCUUGGUAAAUGCUAUUCUACUGUAUGUAUGAUAAGUCAAGCUUACGUGAUCAUGAAAGUUUGUUUUGGGAAUCUAUGCUACAUUUUGAACUUCCUCAGUUACAGUGUGUCCCCUAUGUCUUCUGUCUCAAACCAAAAAGGGAACACAGUUAUAGUGGCCGAAAGUGAAACAUGUAGCCGUCCUUCACUGUCCGAACACCAAAUCAAAACACACCAAAUCCGAUUUUCGUGUGUUGUGUUCCCUUAAAGGCGGUCCCUGGUGCAACGAGUAACAUGCUCUGCAGGGGAAUUCGUGACACUGGCAGUUUACGGCUCUUUGGUCACGGGUUAUAAAAACUCUGAAUCAGCAUGGAGUGGAGGCUCCGGACUGGGGUCUAUCCCACAGUGCAGUGGGGUAAUGAAUGCCCCUCACAACGGUGAAGCUCUCGCCUAAGUUAUGAGGUGAGAGCAAAGGUCGUAACCUCACCCCUAUCACGUCCUCCUCCAGUGGCCUAAUUCUAAAUCCAAUUACAAUGUUUAACCUGGAUCCUUCAGCCAUAUAAACCAGAAACAGAAGUAGGGUACAACGUGUUCUACCCCCCUCUAUCACUGUGCUAUCAUUACCUUGUAAGACAGCUUUGCCUUCUCUAUCAAGACGUAACUUUGGGAAUUCCAUAGAAUACCCACAUGCACAUGUACAUAAAUCUACAUGCAUAUGUUGACACAAGCGGGUGUAUAAGCUAUUUACAGACUGGUAAUUUAUUGUUGAAAUGACCUGACGAAGGUCCUAGUGCAGGGGUUGUCAAUCUUUUCUUGCCCAGGGACCCCCUCUCAGGCAAACCGGCGACCCAGGAAACCCAUCAUACGUUAGCAAAAAAUGUGCUGUCUUGUCUUAUCAUCAGGUGAACGAUAAUGGCAAGGAGAAGUAGUCAACAUUUUAAAAUCAAUUGAUUUGGUAGAUAGUUUUCCAUUAUUUUGACCUCCCCACAUUAUAAUUGGAAGAGGAAGUGUAAACUCUAACAUAACCUAUUAGCUAGGUAACUCUAAACACAUUUUCGCUAAGAGCAGCUGUUUAGCUGGUUAAACAAAGGUUAGCCAAGUGUAGGCAAAAAUGAAUAUCCAAGUCAAGAAAGCUUACCAGCAGUCAGCGGCACUUGUCACACUGGUAGCCUAUUCACAUGUGCUUUUUCAAAGCCUAUGUCACAUACUUCAGGUGGGGGUCUGUAGCGUGACGGUCUGUAGUGGGGGUCUGUAGCUUGACUGUCUGUAGUGGGUGUCUGUAGCGUGACUGUAUGUAGUGGAUGUCUGUAAUGUGACUGUCUGUAGUGGGUGUCUGUAGCGUGACUGUCUGAGGUGGGUGUUUGUAGCGUGACUGUCUGUAGUGGGUGUCUGUAGCGUGACUGUCUGUAGUGUGUGUCUGUAGCGUGCCUGUCUGCAGUGGGUGUCUGUAGCGUGACUGUCUGAGAUGGGUGUCUGUAGCAUGACUGUCUGUAGUGGGUGUCUGUAGCGUGACUGUCUGUAGUGGGUGUCUGUAGUGUGACUGUCUGUGGUGGGUGUCUGUAGCUUGACUGUAUGUAGUGGAUGUCUGUAGCUUGACUGUCUGUAGUGGAUGUCUGUAAUGUGACUGUCUGUAGUGGGAGUCUGUAGCGUGACUGUCUGUAGUGUGUGUCUGUAGCGUGCCUGUCUGCAGUGGGUGUUUGUAGCGUGACUGUCUGAGAUGGGUGUCUGUAGCGUGACUGUCUGUAGUGUGUGUCUGUAGCGUGCCUGUCUGCAGUGGGUGUUUGUAGCGUGACUGUCCGAGGUGGGUGUCUGUAGCGUGACUGUCUGUAGUGGGUGUCUGUAGCGUGACUGUCUGUAGUGGGUGUCUGUAGCGUGACUGUCUGAGGUAGGUGUCUGUAGCGUGACUGUCCGAGGUGGGUGUCUGUAGCGUGACUGUCUGCAGUGGGUGUCUGUAGCGUGACUGUCUGUAGUGGGUGUCUGUAGCGUGACUGUCUGUAGUGGGUGUCUGUAGCGUGCCUGUCUGUAGCGUGACUGUCUGUAGUGUGAAGCAGCUUGCACCAGCCUGACCCUGUCCCCUGACUUGCAGAUAAUUCAUCUGAUUCUAUUCAGUCUGACUAUGGGUUUCAUUACGUCAACCUGGCUGUCAUUGCGUGUUAGGCAGUACUGGGCUGUAAACAUUUGAUUUGAGUGUCAUUUAUUCUGAUGCUAUGUCAAAUAACUUCUCUAUUGAUGUUCUAAUUCUUAUUUAAUUUUUCCUUUAUGUAUGACAGAAAGAAAGAAUUUAGUGUCAUAUCCUAGCUGGCCAAAGGAGAAGUCCCUCCACACAUGCAUACAUGGUCAGGAAGAGAAAUCAAUAAUGUGGAUGUUUAAACCCCCUCACCCCAGUCGUGGGCGGAUGUUUAAACCCCCUCACCCCAGUCAUGGGCGGAUGUUUAAACCCCCUCACCCCAGUCAUGGGCGGAUGUUUAAACCCCCUCACCCCAGUCGUGUACCACAGUUUCGCUGGGCCCCCCCGCAAGGUCUGAGCAAGGUCUGAGCAAGGUCUGAGCAAGCCCCCCCCUC